UAGGAUCAAAGGUUUGAUGCCACCACGC
This 28-nucleotide non-coding RNA is filed under the name Mus musculus (house mouse). The record is from RNAcentral. Lineage: Eukaryota; Metazoa; Chordata; Mammalia; Rodentia; Muridae.